GACGAACGCUGGCGGCGUGCCUAAUACAUGCAAGUCGAGCGAAGAGUCUAGUACUUUGGUCCUAUGACAUUAUAGCGGGACGGGUGAGUAACACAUGUAUAGACUAUCUCUAAGACUCUGAUAGCAUUAGUGGACCGGACCUAUUACCGGAUAAUAUAUUGAACCACGUUGUUCAAAAGUUGAAUACGGUUUUUCGCUCACUAAUGGACUGAUCCGCGCCGCAUUAGCUAGUUGGUGAGGUAAAGGAUUACCAAGGCAACGAUGCGUAGCCGACCCGAGAGGGUGAUCGGACACACUGGAAGUGAGACACGGCACAGACUCCUACGGGAGGCAGCAGUAGGGAAUCUUACGCAAUGGGCGAAAGCUUGACGGAGCAACGCCGCGUGAGUGAUGAAGGAUUUAGGAUCGUAAAGCUAUGUUGUUAGGGAAGAACAAAUGUGUAAUCAACUAGGAAGUUAUUGACGGUACCUAAACAGAAAGCCACGGCUAACUACGUG
RNAcentral lists this ribosomal RNA (497 nucleotides) under uncultured bacterium. Its description in RNAcentral is "partial 16S ribosomal RNA". It matches the Rfam family "Bacterial small subunit ribosomal RNA", at positions 28 to 507 of the family's 1533-position model. The record is from RNAcentral.